UUUUUUUACUGAAACACCUUGCAUUCCAUUUACUAAGGACCAACUAAAUCCGUGGUCAUAGCACAAGUUACAAUAUCAGAGAGGUUUGAAAGCCAAACAAAUUGGUUUCCAUAAACACCAGUACACCACUACCACCUAAAGCAGCCAGCUCAUGGGCUGGGACAUUACAAACACGUGGACAGUGGGGGACAUUCCACUUAAUAAAACCCAACUCGAGCAGGUAUUUGAGCUCGCGAAAGACAGCGCCCAGGGAGGAUCGAUCAAGAGUUUCAGAGUUGAUGGCCUGCUGUAGAACCAAGCAGUCAGUCUCAAAAGCAACACGGCCCAUGCCAUGGUCUUGAGCAAACCGGAC
Molecule: long non-coding RNA, 352 nt
Filed under: Hordeum vulgare
Lineage: Eukaryota; Viridiplantae; Streptophyta; Magnoliopsida; Poales; Poaceae
Description: long non-coding RNA (HVUL_LNC013249)
Source: RNAcentral